UGAGCAAUCUGCCCUUCUCAUCGGAAUAACCAUUGGAAACGAUGGCUAAUGCCGAAUAUGACCUCGGAACACAUGUUCCGAGGUGGAAAGCUCCGGCGGAGAAGGAUGAGCUCGCGGCCUAUCAGCUAGUUGGUGUGGGUAAUGGCCCACCAAGGCGACGACGGGUAGCCGGCCUGAGAGGGUGACCGGCCACACGUGGGACUGAGACACGGCCCAGACCUCCGUAGGGA
RNAcentral lists this ribosomal RNA (230 nucleotides) under uncultured bacterium. RNAcentral's name for it is "partial 16S ribosomal RNA". It matches the Rfam family "Bacterial small subunit ribosomal RNA", at positions 118 to 346 of the family's 1533-position model. The record is from RNAcentral.